This 166-nucleotide ribosomal RNA is filed under the name uncultured bacterium. RNAcentral's name for it is "partial 16S rRNA". It matches the Rfam family "Bacterial small subunit ribosomal RNA", at positions 355 to 511 of the family's 1533-position model. The record is from RNAcentral.
UAGGGAAGUCUUCCACAAUGGGCGAAAGCCUGAUGGAGCAACGCCGCGUGUGUGAUGAAGGGUUCCGGGCUCGUAAAACACUGUUGUAAGAGAAGAAUGACAUUGAGAGUAACUGUUCAAUGUGUGACGGUAUCUUACCAGAAAGGAACGGCUAAAUACGUGCCCG